UCGCGAAUUCCUUCAGUGCUUUCCAAAAACUCCAAAAAAUUUCUGUAAUACAAUAAUUUACCAUUAUAUUUACCUAUAAUUAUAUAUAUUUUUCAUCAGGAUUGCAAGCUGAAUCCGAAUCCGUUGACAUGAGGGAAAAAUUCACAAAUGAUAAAAAAAUUGGUGUGCAAUUUUUGGUCCACCAGUGGCCAGAGGGCCUUAAUGACAAGGGUUCGGCCGCCAGGUAAAGGCCCGGCGUGGACACAAUGGGAACAAUACCCCGGUGAGCUCAGCGCUGACCCAGCGGCUUCUCGCCGGGAUCCGACGUUGCAAUUCUCGGCUCGUGAUAUGCCCGAAUUUUUACUCUGUCUAAUAGGUUUGCACGGACUAUAAAACACAUCUUUCUUUUGACAGUUUUUAUUUUUCUAACUUUUAGAAUUGCCCAAAUUUCAGCUCUGAAUUUGUCUCGCAUGGAGAGGAAAAAUCAUGGAAGAGUUUAAGAAUUGACGUUGUGUAGUUCUCCAUCUGAAUAAUAAAGUAUGACAGGAAAUCUACAACGUUGCAAACUGAGAUACGUCGUUUGGGAGCCGUCAAUAUGGAUGCAAAAUUUGAUUGUGAAAGUAUUUGAAAUAUCUCCAAAUUUACACCCUGUAUGAAGAUGCAAAAUUUAAGGAAAGAAAAUUAAUUGCAGUUUUCCCCUGGUUAAACUCUUGAAGUUAUCCCAAAUUAUUAUGUAUGCAAAUUUGUAAACAUAUACCUGACCCACAAAAAAAUGAGGUUAAGGGAUUUUGAAAAAUGUCAAAAAUUUUGGAUUUUAUCAAAUGGUCCUUUGACUAUGAAAUCGUGCUCAUGAGCUCUGUAGACCUACCCUAAGUAUGUUUUUUUAUAGAAUUUACAGGUUGAACCGUUAAAAACAGACCACUUUUGUAGCCAUUUAAUAUUUCAGACUGUAAACCUCUGUUAUUUUUGUGUUUAAAGUGGUAUAGUCUUUGAUUGUAGCUCCAAACCAAUUUAAUAUUGUUUUUUUUAAAGAUCAUGUCCUCAAUUCUUGUACGUAUAAUUGAGAGUGAUUUGUUUUCACAGAGUGAGUUGUUGUCUAGUUUUUUAUGAUCCUCGCUUUUGUUUCUUGGUUCUGCACCUGCAAAACCUCCCCAGAUAAUUUAAAACCAUAUCAGUUUAUUUUAAAUAAAAUCUAUGAUUCUAUCAUUUGAA
Molecule: non-coding RNA, 1191 nt
Organism: Bemisia tabaci
Lineage: Eukaryota; Metazoa; Arthropoda; Insecta; Hemiptera; Aleyrodidae
Source: RefSeq, a predicted model, not a curated record